Molecule: ribosomal RNA, 802 nt
Filed under: uncultured bacterium
Lineage: Bacteria
Description: bacterial SSU rRNA
Rfam family: Bacterial small subunit ribosomal RNA
Source: RNAcentral
GGCGGACGGGUGAGUAACACGUGGGUAACCUGCCUCAAAGAGGGGGAUAGCCUCCCGAAAGGGAGAUUAAUACCGCAUAAUAUCAUACCUUCACAUGAAGGAAUGAUUAAAGGAGUAAUCCGCUUUGAGAUGGACCCGCGGCGCAUUAGCUAGUUGGAGAGGUAACGGCUCACCAAGGCGACGAUGCGUAGCCGACCUGAGAGGGUGAUCGGCCACAUUGGAACUGAGACACGGUCCAGACUCCUACGGGAGGCAGCAGUGGGGAAUAUUGCACAAUGGGCGAAAGCCUGAUGCAGCAACGCCGCGUGAGUGAAGAAGGUCUUCGGAUUGUAAAGCUCUGUCUUUUGGGACGAACAAUGACGGUACCAAAGGAGGAAGCCACGGCUAACUACGUGCCAGCAGCCGCGGUAAUACGUAGGUGGCAAGCGUUGUCCGGAAUUACUGGGCGUAAAGGAUGUGUAGGCGGAUAUUUAAGUGAGAUGUGAAAUCCCCGGGCUUAACUUGGGGGCUGCAUUUCAAACUGGGUAUCUAGAGUGCAGGAGAGGAAAGCGGAAUUCCUAGUGUAGCGGUGAAAUGCGUAGAGAUUAGGAAGAACAUCAGUGGCGAAGGCGGCUUUCUGGACUGUAACUGACGCUGAGGCAUGAAAGCGUGGGGAGCAAACAGGAUUAGAUACCCUGGUAGUCCACGCCGUAAACGAUGAGUACUAGGUGUAGGAGGUAUCGACUCCUUCUGUGCCGCAGUUAACACAAUAAGUACUCCGCCUGGGAAGUACGGUCGCAAGAUUAAAACUCAAAGGAAUUGA